UCCCUGAUAGCUCAGUGGGUAAAGAAUCUGCCUGCCAUGCAGGAGACCCCCGUUCAAUUUCUGGGUUGGGAAG
Non-coding RNA from Bos taurus (domestic cattle), 73 nucleotides. The record is from Rfam. NCBI's taxonomy places the organism in Eukaryota, Metazoa, Chordata, Mammalia, Artiodactyla, Bovidae.